RNAcentral lists this ribosomal RNA (237 nucleotides) under uncultured bacterium. RNAcentral's name for it is "partial 16S ribosomal RNA". It matches the Rfam family "Bacterial small subunit ribosomal RNA", at positions 15 to 225 of the family's 1533-position model. The record is from RNAcentral.
GAUCCUGGCUCAGGAUGAACGCUGGCGGCGUGCCUAACACAUGCAAGUCGAACGGAGAUGCGAUGUGAGCGAGAGGUGCUUGCACUGAACAAUCUUUUCGUAUCUUAGUGGCGGACGGGUGAGUAACGCGUGGGUAACCUGCCUUAUACCGGGGGAUAACACUUAGAAAUAGGUGCUAAUACCGCAUAAGCGCACGGUGUCGCAUGACACAGUGUGAAAAACUCCGGUGGUAUAAGA